GAGUGAACGCUGGCGGCGUGCCUAACACAUGCAAGUCGAGCGAAGCGGCAGCUGUAGCAAUACAGUAUGUGCUUAGCGGCAGACGGGUGAGUAACACGUAGGCAAUUUACCUCUUAGCGGGGGAUAGCCCGCCGAAAGGCGGGGUAAUACCGCGUACGAUCACGGACCGGCAUCGGUUUGUGAUGAAACAUCCGCAAGGACGGCUGAGAGAGAGGCCUGCGGCCUAUCAGCUAGUUGGUGAGGUAACGGCUCACCAAGGCUACGACGGGUAACCGACCUGAAAGGGCGAACGGUCACACUGACACUGAGACACGGGUCAGACUCCUACGGGAGGCAGCAGUGAGGAAUUUUGGACAAUGGGGGCAACCCUGAUCCAGCGACGCCGCGUGAGGGACGAAGGUCUUCGGAUUGUAAACCUCUUUUAUUCGGGAAUAAGAAACUCGGGGAAACUCGGGGAGUGAAUGUACCGAAUGAAUAAGCCACGGCUAACUUCGUGCCAGCAGCCGCGGUAAUACGAAGGUGGCAAGCGUUACUCGGAAUUACUAGGCGUAAAGGGCAGGUAGGUGGUUUGGUAAGUCUGUUGUGAAAGCUCCCGGCUUAACUGGGAGAGGUCAACAGAAACUACCAGGCUUGAGUAUGGGAGAGGGUACUGGAAUUCCCGGUGUAGCGGUGAAAUGCGCAGAGAUCGGGAGGAACACCUAUGGCGAAAGCAGGUACCUAGACCAUUACUGACACUCAGCUGCGAAAGCUAGGGGAGCAAACAGGAUUAGAUACCCUGGUAGUCCUAGCCGUAAACGAUGCACAUUAGGCGUGGGGGGUAUCGACCCCCUCCGUGCCGACGCAAACGCAUUAAAUGUGCCGCCUGGGGAGUACGGCCGCANGGGUUGAAACUCAAAG
RNAcentral lists this ribosomal RNA (897 nucleotides) under uncultured bacterium. RNAcentral's name for it is "bacterial SSU rRNA". It matches the Rfam family "Bacterial small subunit ribosomal RNA", at positions 27 to 906 of the family's 1533-position model. The record is from RNAcentral.